Molecule: transfer RNA, 71 nt
Filed under: Batrachoseps nigriventris (black-bellied slender salamander)
Lineage: Eukaryota; Metazoa; Chordata; Amphibia; Caudata; Plethodontidae
Description: tRNA-Asn
Source: RNAcentral
UAGAUUAAAGCCUGAAAGUAGGUAUUUAGCUGUUAACUAAAUUGUAGUAGGAUAAAAGCCUGCUAAUCUAG